UGCCCCAUGGCUGAGUUGGUUACAGCGUCCGACUGUUAUCCCAGCUGCAAAGCUGCUAACGCAAUCGGAAGGUCGUGAGUUCGAGCCUCACUGGGGCAG
Trametes pubescens is the source of this 99-nucleotide transfer RNA. It matches the Rfam family "tRNA". From Rfam's summary of the family: Transfer RNA (tRNA) molecules are approximately 80 nucleotides in length. The record is from Rfam. NCBI's taxonomy places the organism in Eukaryota, Fungi, Basidiomycota, Agaricomycetes, Polyporales, Polyporaceae.